AGUUGUUGCAGUUAAAAAGCUCGUAGUUGGAUUUCGGGUGCGUCGACGCGGUCUGCCUCUGGUAUGUACUGCGCUCGGUGCACCUUUCUGCCGGGGACGGGCUCCUGGGCUUCACUGUCUGGGACUCGGAGUCGGCGAGGUGACCUUGAGCAAACAAGAGUGUUCAAAGCAAGCCUACGCUCUGAAUUUUUUAGCAUGGAAUCACACGAUAGGACUCUGGCCUAUCUUGUUGGUCUGUAGGACCGGAGUAAUGAUUAAGAGGGACAGUCGGGGGCAUUCGUAUUUCAUUGUCAGAGGUGAAAUUCUUGGAUUUAUGAAAGACGAACUUCUGCGAAAGCAUUUGCCAAGGAUGUUUUCAUUGAUCAAGAACGAAAGUUGGGGGCUCGAAGACGAUUAGAUACCGUCGUAGUCUCAACCAUAAACGAUGCCGACUAGGGAUUGGCAGGUGUUCCAUUGAUGACCCUGCCAGCACCUUAUGAGAAAUCAAAGUUUUUGGGUUCCGGGGGGAGUAUGGUCGCAAGGCUGAAACUUAAAGGAAUUGACGGAAGGGCACCACCAGGCGUGGAGCCUGCGGCUUAAUUUGACUCAACACGGGGAAACUUACCAGGUCCAGACACGGGGAGGAUUGACAGAUUGAGAGCUCUUUCUUGAUUCUGUGGGUGGUGGUGCAUGGCCGUUCUUAGUUGGUGGGUUGCCUUGUCAGGUUGAUUCCGGUAACGAACGAGACCUCAGCCUGCUAAAUAGUCACGGGUACCUUGGUACACGCUUGACUCUUAGAGGGACUAUU
Molecule: ribosomal RNA, 787 nt
Filed under: Chlorophyceae sp. LU26
Lineage: Eukaryota; Viridiplantae; Chlorophyta; Chlorophyceae
Description: SSU rRNA
Rfam family: Eukaryotic small subunit ribosomal RNA
Source: RNAcentral